CCCUUUAAGUGACCUUUAGAUUUUUCAGGUC
RNAcentral lists this non-coding RNA (31 nucleotides) under Mus musculus (house mouse). The record is from RNAcentral. Lineage: Eukaryota; Metazoa; Chordata; Mammalia; Rodentia; Muridae.